RNAcentral lists this ribosomal RNA (260 nucleotides) under uncultured bacterium. Its description in RNAcentral is "partial 16S ribosomal RNA". It matches the Rfam family "Archaeal small subunit ribosomal RNA", at positions 744 to 1004 of the family's 1478-position model. The record is from RNAcentral.
GUCCCAGCUGUAAACGAUGCAGACUCGGUGAUGGACUAGCUUAAUGCUAGUCCAGUGCCGCAGGGAAGCCGUUAAGUCUGCCGCCUGGGUAGUACGGUCGCAAGACUGAAACUUAAAGGAAUUGGCGGGGAGCACCACAAGGGUGAAGCCUGCGGUUCAAUUGGAGUCAACGCCGGGAAUCUUACCGGGGGCGGACAGCAGAGUGAAGGUCAAGCUGAAGACUUUACUAGACAAGCUGAGAGGAGGUGCAUGGCCGUCGC